This is a long non-coding RNA of Cydia splendana, 600 nucleotides long. RefSeq lists it as uncharacterized. The record is from RefSeq and is a predicted model, not a curated record. The transcript has 4 exons. NCBI's taxonomy places the organism in Eukaryota, Metazoa, Arthropoda, Insecta, Lepidoptera, Tortricidae.
AUUUACACACGAGAAAAGGAUUCAAUAUGACUGUGUACUGAGUAACCCGACGGAUAACGAGGAAAAAUAUAAAAUAUCUUAUUAUGUAGUUGUAGAUGGAAGCCCAAAGGCGAAAACAAGUGGAAACGUGACUUUAGCAGCUCACACAAGUGAAUCAUUGAUAUACACUUUUACGCUUAAUAAGGCUGACCAAACUAUUAUAUGUUCUGCGGUAGACCAAAGCGAUCGAAAGGACGCACCUAACCCAAAAGUUGAAAUAUAUCUACAAUAUAUAACAUUGCCACCUGUAUUUCCUGUUAUAAAAACACCAAACGUGACAAGAGGGAAGUAUAUCCCGAAGAAUUUUACACAAAUAUACUAUUAUAACUUCACCGAUGGAGAAGACAUUAAAUUCGAAUGUGCUUUGAAAGAUGAUAAAGCCUACAAUUCAAUUUAUCGAAUGGCCUUAUAUUCUGAUGAUCACGAGAAUAGAACAUUUACACCAGAGAUGCCCGUCAGUCACCUUUUUAAUCUCAAAAAGGAUAAUAAAAUUAUAACGUGUAUCGUUUGGAAUUCGCAAAGUCAGCAAAAGUUGUAUAGUAUAGUAUAUCUUUACUGGAA